GAUGAACGCUGGCGGCGUGCUUAACACAUGCAAGUCGAACGAUGAAGCCCAGCUUGCUGGGUGGAUUAGUGGCGAACGGGUGAGUAACACGUGAGUAACCUGCCCUUAACUCUGGGAUAAGCCUGGGAAACUGGGUCUAAUACCGGAUAGGAGCGUCCACCGCAUGGUGGGUGUUGGAAAGAUUUAUCGGUUUUGGAUGGACUCGCGGCCUAUCAGCUUGUUGGUGAGGUAAUGGCUCACCAAGGCGACGACGGGUAGCCGGCCUGAGAGGGUGACCGGCCACACGGGGACUGAGACACGGCCCAGACGCCGACGGGGGGCAGCAGUGGGGAAUAUUGCACAAUGGGCGAAAGCCUGAUGCAGCGACGCCGCGUGAGGGAUGACGGCCUUCGGGUUGUAAACCUCUUUCAGUAGGGAAGAAGCGAAAGUGACGGUACCUGCAGAAGAAGCACCGGCUAACUACGUGCCAGCCGCCGCAGUAA
This 482-nucleotide ribosomal RNA is filed under the name uncultured bacterium. RNAcentral describes it as "partial 16S ribosomal RNA". It matches the Rfam family "Bacterial small subunit ribosomal RNA", at positions 28 to 523 of the family's 1533-position model. The record is from RNAcentral.